This 29-nucleotide non-coding RNA is filed under the name Rattus norvegicus (Norway rat). The record is from RNAcentral. Lineage: Eukaryota; Metazoa; Chordata; Mammalia; Rodentia; Muridae.
UCCGAGUUUGAGGUCAGCCUGAACUACAA